Molecule: ribosomal RNA, 423 nt
Filed under: uncultured bacterium
Lineage: Bacteria
Description: partial 16S ribosomal RNA
Rfam family: Bacterial small subunit ribosomal RNA
Source: RNAcentral
CCUACGGGAGGCAGCAGUGGGGAAUAUUGCACAAUGGGGGAAAGCCUGAUGCAGCGACGCCGCGUGAGGGAAGAAGGAUUUCGGAAUGUAAAGCUCUAUCAGCAGGGAAGAAAAUGACGGUACCUGAUUAAGAAGCCACGGCUAACUACGUGCCAGCAGCCGCGGUAAUACGUAGGGGGCAAGCGUUAUCCGGAUUUACUGGGUGUAAAGGGAGCGUAGACGGUUGUGUAAGUCUGGAGUGAAAGCCCGGGGCCCAACCCCGGGACUGCUUUGGAAACUGUGUAACUGGAGUACAGGAGGGGCAGGCGGAAUUGCUGGUGUAGCGGUGAAGUGCGUAGAUAUCAGGAGGAACACCAGCGGCGAAGGCGGCCUGCUGGGCUUAAACUGACGUUGAGGCUCGAAAGCGUGGGAGGCAACAGGAUU